GGGAUCUCUGGUCUGAUGUGGAGCGGGGAUCCGAGGCUUACGACGCUUUGAAGCGAGAUCGAUGUGAGGUGUUCUGGUCGGUUCUGGAGCGACGGAUUCCC
RNAcentral lists this transfer RNA (101 nucleotides) under Cyanobium sp. ARS6. RNAcentral describes it as "tRNA-Arg(acg)". Lineage: Bacteria; Bacillati; Cyanobacteriota; Cyanophyceae; Synechococcales; Prochlorococcaceae. The record is from RNAcentral.